UAAUACUCUUGCCAAAGAGACACAUUUUGGGGUGGCAAAUUUUGCUCCCCUAUGCUUUGUGAUUUGCAAUAUGUAUAUUCUUAAACCAACACAAGAGUAGAGACCAUCUGUCCUUUCCCAGGGACCAAUCACCCAGCUUUGACAAUUGUCAACAUUUUCUGAUAUUUGUUUCUUUUCCCCCACACUGGAAAAAAAGAGUUGCCAAAGUAUUUUGAAACACAUCCCAGAUAACAUGAAUCAUUUCACUUGUAAUAAUUUAGUCUUCAUCUCUAAACUAAUAAGGACCUUUGUUUUCAUAACCAUAAUGCUAUUAUCAGACCUAAAAAAUUAACAUUAGUUUCUCACUAUUAUCUAAUACCAGUCCAUUCUUAAUUGUCCUCAAUUGUCUCCAAAUGCCUUUGUACAUGUACCUGGUUUGCAUCAGCAUCAAGCAAAUACAUCCGAAGUAAGGCCUAGAUGGAUGCAGAAUGCUGAUGAAGAAAAUUCCACGAUAAUGUCAGCUCUGGCUUCCUGGAUGAUCCAGGGAAAUGUAAUAGAGUCUAAUUGAAGAGAAUAUGAUUCAAGAUACAGACUGGAAUUUCUUAGUCAAGGAUCACUGACCUCAACUAUUUUACAAAACUUAUCAGCAGAACGUUUGAUUUCCUACAAAUCCCAAAAGAGUGGUAGCUCAGUUUGACUAUUCCCUCACUACAAGUUGAAGAAAUGGAUACAAAAUUCUCACAAGAUUCUUAGUCCCUGGAUCCUGGCCUGGUGAAAAGGCGUGGCUGUUAUCUCUCAACAUGGUACUACAGUAGGGCAGCUGUGCCCUGAGAUGUUACCAGCUUCAGACACAGCCUGCUGUCCACCUUCUCCAUGAAGUUCCAGAGCCUUGUGGAAAACCCAGAUGAUUCUGCUCUCCUCACAAGCCUGUGCUUCUUUUGCUGCUCCACCAAACAUCUGGGAAGGUCAAGGACUUGAACUCUUUUCUCUGGUUCUGCCAAUGAACGGAGGCAAAGGAAAAGCCUCAUGCUAUGGAAGAUAAUCCCCCACAUGGCUUGCCCAGGAAAAUAAUCUGCUGCCCACUGGAAACUUCACAUAUUUGUCAACUCAAAGAUUCCACACCAAAACAGAAGGUGGGAAAUCCACAUAUCACCAGGAGCCAGAAGUAGCAGAAACUGCAAAGUACUUCAGGAGCAUUAGUGCCCAAGGUGAAGGAAAGUGUCAAGCUGACCUAUGGACAAAUCAAACCUAAUCUAAUAAACUCUAUGCCACACAAAUUAAGCAUCUAUUUUUUCUUUUCUUUUUCUUUCUUUUUUUUUUUUU
Non-coding RNA from Sus scrofa (pig), 1302 nucleotides. Lineage: Eukaryota; Metazoa; Chordata; Mammalia; Artiodactyla; Suidae. The record is from RefSeq and is a predicted model, not a curated record.